RNAcentral lists this non-coding RNA (170 nucleotides) under Pseudobdellovibrionaceae bacterium. RNAcentral's name for it is "Bdellovibrionaceae bacterium (stromatolite metagenome) 6S RNA". It matches the Rfam family "6S / SsrS RNA". From Rfam's summary of the family: E. coli 6S RNA was the first non coding RNA to be sequenced, but its function was unknown until recently. Lineage: Bacteria; Pseudomonadati; Bdellovibrionota; Bdellovibrionia; Bdellovibrionales; Pseudobdellovibrionaceae. The record is from RNAcentral.
AGUUCUGUGGGCUGAUGACAAAAGUAAACCCUACAAGAACAUUUAUUGGGGGCUAUCCCUGGUGAUGGUGUGCAAGCUCACCUUAAUUGAGUGAGAAGCCUAAAGUCGCUAUCAUGGUCACCCACCUUAUUCGAACGGGUUUACUUGGAUCACUCAGACCCACAGCUUUU